CCUACGGGAGGCAGCAGUGAGGAAUAUUGGUCAAUGGGCGGGAGCCUGAACCAGCCAAGUCGCGUGAGGGAAGACGGUCCUAUGGAUUGUAAACCUCUUUAGGCGGGGAGCAAUGCCGGGCACGCGUGCCCGGAGGGAGAGUACCCGCAGUAUAAGCAUCGGCUAACCGCGUGCCAGCAGCCGCGGUAAUACGGGGGAUGCGAGCGUUAUCGGGAUUUUUUGGGUUUAGGGGGUGCGUAGGCGGAGUUUUAAGUCAGCGGUAAAAUGUCCGGGCAAAGCCCGGGCCGGCCGUUGAAACUGGGGAUCUUGAGUGGGCAAGAAGUAUGCGGAAUGCGUGGUGUAGCGGUGAAAUGCAUAGAUAUCACGCAGAACUCCGAUUGCGAAGGCAGCAUACCGGCGCCCGACUGACGCUGAGGCACGAAAGCGUGGGGAUCGAACAGGAUUAGAUACCCUUGUAGUC
This 460-nucleotide ribosomal RNA is filed under the name uncultured bacterium. RNAcentral describes it as "partial 16S ribosomal RNA". It matches the Rfam family "Bacterial small subunit ribosomal RNA", at positions 338 to 795 of the family's 1533-position model. The record is from RNAcentral.